AGAGUUUGAUCAUGGCUCAGAACGUACGCUGGCGGCACGCCUUAUACAUGCAAGUCGAACGAAGUAGCAAUACUUAGUGGCAGACGGGUGAGUAGCAUGUGGGUAUCUUCCCUUUGGUGAGGAAUAACAAGAGGAAACUUUUGCUAAUACCUCAUAAGUCUUUACGGAGAAAGCUUUAUGCGCCAAUGGAUGAGCCCGCACUUGAUUAGUUUGUUGGUGGGGUAAUGGCCUACCAAGACUUUGAUCAAUAGCUGAUUUGAGAGGAUGAUCAGCCACAUUGGGACUGAGACACGGCCCAAACUCCUACGGGAGGCAGCAGUAGGGAAUCUUGCACAAUGGAGGAAACUCUGAUGCAGCGAUGCCGCGUGAGUGAAGAAGGCCUUUGGGUUGUAAAGCUCUUUCGUCGGGGAAGAAAAUGACUGUACCCGAAUAAGAAGGUCCGGCUAACUUCGUGCCAGCAGCCGCGGGUAAUACGAAGGGACCUAGCGUAGUUCGGAAUUACUGGGCUUAAGAGUUCGUAGGUGGUUAAAAAAGUUGGUGGUGAAAUCCCAGAGCUUAACUCUGGAACUGCCAUCAAAACUUUUUAGCUAGAGUU
This 595-nucleotide ribosomal RNA is filed under the name uncultured marine bacterium. RNAcentral describes it as "bacterial SSU rRNA". It matches the Rfam family "Bacterial small subunit ribosomal RNA", at positions 8 to 648 of the family's 1533-position model. The record is from RNAcentral.